Molecule: ribosomal RNA, 493 nt
Filed under: uncultured bacterium
Lineage: Bacteria
Description: partial 16S ribosomal RNA
Rfam family: Bacterial small subunit ribosomal RNA
Source: RNAcentral
GACGAACGCUGGCGGCGUGCUAACACAUGCAAGUCGAACGGUGAAGCGCCUUCCUUUUUGGUGGGUGUGGAUGAGUGGCGAACGGGUGAGUAACACGUGAGUAACCUGCCCCCUUCUUCUGGAUAACCGCAUGAAAGUGUGGCUAAUACGGGAUAUUCUGGGUCUGUCGCAUGAUGGGUCUGGGAAAGAUAUUGUUUCGGUGGGGGAUGGGCUCGCGGCCUAUCAGCUUGUUGGUGGGGUGAUGGCCUACCAAGGCGGUGACGGGUAGCCGGCCUGAGAGGGUGGACGGUCACACUGGGACUGAGACACGGCCCAGACUCCUACGGGAGGCAGCAGUGGGGAAUAUUGCACAAUGGGCGCAAGCCUGAUGCAGCGACGCCGCGUGAGGGAUGGAGGCCUUCGGGUUGUGAACCUCUUUCGCCAGUGAAGCAGGCCUGCCUCGUUUGUGGGUGGGUUGACGGUAGCUGGAUAAGAAGCGCCGGCUAACUACGUG